Molecule: ribosomal RNA, 497 nt
Filed under: uncultured bacterium
Lineage: Bacteria
Description: partial 16S ribosomal RNA
Rfam family: Bacterial small subunit ribosomal RNA
Source: RNAcentral
AGCGAACGCUGGCGGCGUGCCUAAUACAUGCAAGUCGAGCGAACAGACGAGGAGCUUGCUCCUCUGAUGUUAGCGGCGGACGGGUGAGUAACACGUGGAUAACCUACCUAUAAGACUGGGAUAACUUCGGGAAACCGGAGCUAAUACCGGAUAACAUGUUGAACCGCAUGGUUCAACAGUGAAAGACGGUCUUGCUGUCACUUAUAGAUGGAUCCGCGCCGCAUUAGCUAGUUGGUAAGGUAACGGCUUACCAAGGCAACGAUGCGUAGCCGACCUGAGAGGGUGAUCGGCCACACUGGAACUGAGACACGGUCCAGACUCCUACGGGAGGCAGCAGUAGGGAAUCUUCCGCAAUGGGCGAAAGCCUGACGGAGCAACGCCGCGUGAGUGAAGAAGGUCUUCGGAUCGUAAAACUCUGUUAUUAGGGAAGAACAAAUGUGUAAGUAACUAUGCACGUCUUGACGGUACCUAAUCAGAAAGCCACGGCUAACUACGUG